GAUGAACGCUGGCGGCGUGCCUAAUACAUGCAAGUCGAGCGAACGGACGAGAAGCUUGCUUCUCUGACGUUAGCGGCGGACGGGUGAGUAACACGUGGAUAAUCUACCUAUAAGACUGGGAUAACUUCGGGAAACCGUAGCUAAUACCGGAUAAUAUUUUGAACCGCAUGGUUUAAAAGUGAAAGACGGUCUUGCUGUCACUUAUCGAUGGAUCCGCGCUGCGUUAGCUAGUUGGUAAGGUAACGGCUUACCAAGGCAACGAUGCAUAGCCGACCUGAGAGGGUGAUCGGCCACACUGGAACUGAGACGCGGUCCAGACUCCUACGGGAAGGAGCAGAAGGGAAUCUUCCGCAGAGGGCGAGAGCCUGACGGAGCAACGCCGCGUGAGUGAUGAAGGUCUUCGGAUCGUAAAACUCUGUUAUUAGGGAAGAACAUAUGUGUAAGUAACUGUGCACAUCUUGACGGUACCUAAUCAGAAAGCCACGGCUAACUACGUG
RNAcentral lists this ribosomal RNA (497 nucleotides) under uncultured bacterium. RNAcentral's name for it is "partial 16S ribosomal RNA". It matches the Rfam family "Bacterial small subunit ribosomal RNA", at positions 28 to 507 of the family's 1533-position model. The record is from RNAcentral.